GAAGUGUUUCUCCAAAAAGUGGGCAUUAAAGAGAAGUCAAAGGGGGUGGUGAUCAAUAAGGCUCAUAAGUAUUGCGUGGUAAGCCUUCCAAGUUCUAUAAACGCUUACAUUGUGAGCUCCAACUCCUCCAACCGUUUUGAUUCAUUCAUAUUACCUCUCCCACUUUGUUUUUUCCAAACUCCCUUCAUCUCCAUGAUCUCUCUAGCACUCUCUCUCUCUUUCUCUCUCUCUCAUAUUACAUAGAUUUCAAGUUCACUCUCAAAUCUCAACCUUUCAAUCUCAAACUUUGUUUUGCCAAAAACACAUGUUUUGUAGAGUUGAAAUGAUGAUGCUGGGAUUGGAGAGGUUGGUGUUGAAUUUGAAAUCCAAGUUGAGGUCUUUGAAGGUGAACAAGAAGCCUUAUGACAAGAUUGAAAAGAGUGAGAGCAUGAGAGUUGAAAUAAGGAGCAAGAAGGCCAGAAAGCUCAUUGAAAAGACUUUGAAAGUAGCAGAUUCUCCCAAGUCCAAAACCUUCGCUUUUUGAUGAUUGUAUUUGUAUAUGUAUAUAUAUGUCACAAAACAUCAAAAGCUAAUGCUUUCUUUCUCCCCUCUUUUGGGUAUACUCCCUUAUGCAAUAGAAUAAGGUGAUUAAGGAGGGCCUUCCUCCCCUGUUUUGGAUAA
Prunus mume (Japanese apricot) is the source of this 660-nucleotide non-coding RNA. Lineage: Eukaryota; Viridiplantae; Streptophyta; Magnoliopsida; Rosales; Rosaceae. The record is from RefSeq and is a predicted model, not a curated record.